This 1487-nucleotide ribosomal RNA is filed under the name uncultured Bordetella sp. RNAcentral describes it as "partial 16S-23S ribosomal RNA intergenic spacer". It matches the Rfam family "Bacterial small subunit ribosomal RNA". Lineage: Bacteria; Pseudomonadati; Pseudomonadota; Betaproteobacteria; Burkholderiales; Alcaligenaceae. The record is from RNAcentral.
UUUGAUUAUGGCUCAGAUUGAACGCUGGCGGGAUGCUUUAUACAUGCAAGUCGAACGGCAGCACGGACUUCGGUCUGGUGGCGAGUGGCGAACGGUGAGUAAUGUAUCGGAACGUGCCUAGUAGUGGGGAUAACUACGCGAAAGCGUAGCUAAUACCGUAUACGCCCUUCGGGGGAAAGCGGGGGACCUUCGGGCCUCGCACUCAGAGCGGCCGAUAUCGGAUUAGCUAGUUGGUGGGGUAACGGCUCACCAAGGCGACGAUCCGUAGCUGGUUUGAGAGGACGACCAGCCACACUGGGACUGAGACACGGGCCCAGACUCCUACGGGAGGCAGCAGGGGGAAUUCUGGGACAAUGGGGAAAACCGAUCCAGCCAUCCCGCGUGUGCGAUGAAGGCCUUCGGGUUGUAAAGCACUUUUGGCAGGAAAAGAAACGGCACGGGAUAAUACCCCGUGCAACUGACGGUACCUGCAGAAUAAGCACCGGCUAACUACGUGCCAGCAGCCGCGGUAAUACGUAGGGUGCAAGCGUUAAUCGAAAUUACUGGGCGUAAAGCGUGCGCAGGCGGUUCGGAAAGAAAGAUGUGAAAUCCCAGAGCUUAACUUUGGAACUGCAUUUUUACAAUUCACCGGGAGCUAGGAGUGUGUCAGAGGGAGGUGGAAUUCCGCGUGUAGCAGUGAAAUGCGUAGAUAUGCGGAGGAACACCCUGAUGGCGAAGGCAGCCCUGGAUAACACUGACGCUCAUGCACGAAAGCGUGGGGAGCAAACAGAUUAGAUACCCUGGUAGUCCACGCCCUAAACGAUGUCAACUAGCUGUUGGGGCCUUCUGGGCCUUGUGCGCAGUUGACGCAGGAAGUUGACCGCCUGGGGAGUACGGUCGCAAGAUUAAAACUCAAAGGAAUUGACGGGGACUCCCGCACAAGCGGUGGAUGAUGUGGAUUAAUUGAUGCAAACGCCAGGCGAAAACCUUACCUACCCUUGACAUGUCUGAAUCCCGAAGAGAUUUGGGAGUGCUCGCAAGAGAACCGGAACACAGGUGCUGCAUGGCUGUCGUCAGCUCGUGUCGAGAUGUUGGGUUAAGUCCCGCAACGAGCGCAACCCCUUGUCAUUAGUUGCUACGAAAGGGUACUCUACCUGAGAUUGCCGGUGACAAACCGGAGGAAGGUGAUGACGUCAAGUCCUCAUGGCCCUUAUGUAGGGCUUCACACGCUGGCAUAAUGUCGGGACAGAGGGUCGCCAACCCGCGAGGGGAGCCAAUCCCAGAAACCCGAUCGUAGUCCGGAUCGCAGUCUGCAACUCGACUGCGUGGUCGGAAUCGCCAGUAAUCGCGGAUCAAGGCAUAAAGUGUCGCGGUGAAUACGUUCCCGGUCUUGUACACACCGCCCGUCACACCAUGGGAGUGGGUUUUACCAGAAGUAGUUAGCCCAACUGUAUGAGGGCGAUUACCACGGUAGGAUUCAUGACUGGGGUGAAGUCGUAACAAGGUAA